Molecule: long non-coding RNA, 388 nt
Organism: Pantherophis guttatus
Lineage: Eukaryota; Metazoa; Chordata; Lepidosauria; Squamata; Colubridae
Source: RefSeq, a predicted model, not a curated record
UCGCUAGACAAUCAAGCUGCAAUCAGGAUGGUGCAAACAAACCUUCCCAUGAAGAAAAUUGACAGAAUUGUGGCAUACCUGUCAGAUUAGCCUGAAGCCAGAAGGCCUUCCUUUUAUUGGUUUUUGGGGAAAAUAUGACAUUCUUCCCCACGGGUCUUCACUUUGCCAGAAGAAAGGCACAAGAAGCUGAGCAAAGGCCAAGUGAGUCUUGAUUGGAACUGUCUUUGGUUCUGAGAAGAGACCUCUCAAGAUACUACUGUGGGUCAUCACGAUUGUAGUGCCCCUCCUGAGCUGCAAAAUAGAAUUUCAUGUGAGCGUAAAGGACAGAGCCCUGUGCAAAAGCAGACCCACAAAUUUUGAAGGUGAAUUUAAAAAACAAAAAACAGGA